UGGGAACUUCCAUAUGCCAUGGUGCAGCCUGGAAAAAAACAAUAACAACAACAAAAAACAAAUACUUUUCUAAUUAACACUGAGGGACAAAUGAGACUUUAGCUGGAAAGGACAUGAGGUUCUUUAGCCGCAAGUCUAAUUGUCUCUGCUUUGUUCUGAAGCCCUUCUUACCCUGUCUGUGUUCAGUUUCAGCCCUCCUUCCCUAUUCUUUCUGAGUUCUGGCUAAACUUAGGCCACAUGGCAAAGACAUAUUAAGGAAAAAAUCAAACAAGGGAAGGUAUUCUUCUCUACUUGAUUUUAUAAAUACAUUUUGAAAAUGAUUCCCUCACCCCCCUUUUAUCUCAAAAUAUGAGUGUUAUUAUGUGCCAAGGGAGAUCUACAUCAGUUUAAUUUUCAGCCAGAUGAGAAAGGACAUUGUGAACUAGUUAUUUAAUCAGCUCUCUUCAGCUUGUGGAAGGGCAGUCAGAGCUCCUUUUCCUUCUGGUAAUUUCUUCUGUGUAAACAUAUCAUCACCAGUGGUGACUUGACAUUACAAUUGAAAGGCAAUUUUGUGCUCUCCAGUCUAGACGCCCAGCAAGAAGCGGAGGCAGAGAGCAGUUAAGUGACUUACCACUUUUCAUAACAUCAGGCAGCGAGAGAAGAAGGAAGAGAGCUCAGACGUAUAUUGUCGAGGCUGGCUUCACGUUUCCUAGGCUACACCAUCUACGUGACAGCAGAGAACAGCAUCAGUCAGAAGAGGAAGAUGAAAUACCUUUUAAAUGUAAAAGGGAAUGAUCGCAAAUGGGUCUUGGUGGCAGAAGCAAAUUAAAUUUAUUAAAAUAGAGUAGCUUUUAGCCUGCCACAGGAUAAAACUGCAGCUGACAGCUAUGUUUUGAUAGACUUUUCUAUUGGAUUUUUGGUGACUUAAUGGAAUCAAGGCAUGAUUUCAGUCACAACAGUACAUAGAAAAGAUAAUUAGAGAAGAUAAACACACAGACAAUCACAAGGCUGGAGGAGUGUGGCCUGGGAAAAAAAUCCCCAUAAGACAAAACAAAGAAUUAUAAUACAGGGAAGCUACUUUUUGGUACUACCAACUGAAUGUACACAUCAGAGCCCUCACUGGAGUAAGAAACAGCAUACAAGGUCCGGGUUCCAAACUCAGAGAAUGUCCACAAGGAAGUCCUGCUAGCCCAUGCCUGGAUCAGGUGCAUGUCCACUCAGCUCUUCAGGUACCAAGUAAUUUACAGAUAUACGUCAGUGCAGCCUUGACCACAAGGUAACAAAAAUUCCAUGGGAAGCCCCAAGAACCUGGGAAUUUGAUUGCCCUUUGACCUUUAAACUGUAACUCUUCACAUAACACAGAUGUCACGAAUGACUUGUGUUUGUAAGCACGUCUCCAACAGGGUAGGAACAUCCUGGGUAGGAACUGAGAUGUGCUGAUCUAAAAGGAAUUUAAUUCAUUAUAUCCCACCCUUU
This 1455-nucleotide long non-coding RNA is filed under the name Sus scrofa (pig). RNAcentral's name for it is "lncRNA (ENSSSCG00040022137.1)". The record is from RNAcentral. Lineage: Eukaryota; Metazoa; Chordata; Mammalia; Artiodactyla; Suidae.